CGCCCACGACACGUAAUACCCCCUCCCCCUCGCUCACCCGCCCGCUUGUAUACAAUCUCGAUCACUUUUCAGCGCACCCACCCACCAAGUCCGCCCUCGACACAUCGCUUCUCCUCCCUAUCCAUCUAUCUAUAUCUCUGCCUGUCUGCACACUCCGUUUCCGUGCUUCAUCGUGCACCGCGUAAAAGCAAACGAAGAAGCGCCCCAGCCGUGUCGCUCAGCCCUCUGUCUCUCGACGGAAUAAGAUUGCGGCACCUGCUCCGGGCCCCCUUCCCUGGACUCGUCGCUCACGCAGAUGUCUUCUUCAGCGCCGCUGUCCACGCAGCAACCGGCGCCGCUACCGCCACAACCGCAGCAGCAACAGCAGCCCAUGCAGAGCGUGCUGGACGCUAUUCGCCAGCAGGGCUGGGGCGGUGCCUCCUCCGGUGGAGGUGCCGCGAUGCCCACAGUCGCCUCGUCUCGCGGGGUGGAGAGGCAUUCGGGGGCGAAGCUCGCAUGCCCCAAAAUACAUGAGGGGCACUCGGCCAUCUCCUCGCGGCCGUUCAGCGGUGACGGCGCUGACAAGCGCUUCGCCGCCAUUGCCGCCAUAGCCGCUACGAGGGAGGCGUCAGAGGCGGCAAACAACCCCUGCGACUCUAUGCAGCCGUCUGCGGACUCGCAGCAGUUGCGCGGUACCAAGGGCGAGUGUGCUCCCGCUGGCCACGCCAAUGCCGCCGCCGCAUUGAACAACACCAACGGCGUGUGCGAGGCUAUUAUUACAGCCGCGCGGUACGGGGGGAUCAUGGAACCCAGCGCGUCGGUGCCCGCGGUGGCUGCCACCGCUGCUUCGGUAAACUUCGCAGCGGAAGGAGAUGAACGCCGCCGCUUGUCGGGUCCGUUCGGGUCCUACUCGACCACCGACGAAGUCCUUCACAAAAAGUGUAACGACGUGCAGCAGGGCAGUGCGCUCGAGAGCGCGGACAGCCCCACGGAUGCCUCUGGCGGUGUGCUCGUGGUGUCUCCUGCCUACGCGGUGGUCCCAGCUCGCGUGAGCGAGGCUCCCUCGCCGGCCGGUGCUGAGAUGCAGCAGCUCCUGGCCGAUGCCCGCCGCGCCUACACGGCUGCUGAGGAGCGCCUGCUGGGCGACGGUCUUGCCUUGCGCGAGGACUGGAUGGGCACACGCGAUCUGUUUUUCGCAGCUGGCUCACUUUUCGCCGCCGUCGGCGAGGCGGCAGACGCGGCACGCUGCUUGCUGCACGCCACCUUCAUCAACCGCGCCUUCCAGAACGACAGUGAGGCGUUGGUGACAUUGGCGAUGUCAGUGGAGCAGCUGAAGCAGUCGCACCCGCGUAUCGCGGUGGACUCCCUGCUGCGGCUCGCGCCGUGCUAUGCGCAGCAGGAUCUUCGCUACCAAGCGGCUCGCUGCCACCGGGAUGCUGCUGAAAUACUGGAGAACAUUCUGGAGGCGAAGGAGGAGGCUGUCGUGCAGUACCGCGCCGCGUUGGACAUGUACGCCGAGACGAAAGUGGCCGCCGCCGAGACGGCGCGACGCUGGGAACGCCAGAAACAGCAGCAACGCACCGCCGCCGUCUGCGGCGAUCUCACCGGCACGCCACCGCUCCCCCCCUCCGCUGGCGCCUCCACGACCAACGGCGAUCUGACCAGCCCAACGGCGCCCAGUGGUGUCGAGGCCACAUCGCUUGGGCCGGAGCAGCCCUUCGUGUCGCCAAAGUCCACGGCGCUGGUACCCUCCAGCGGCGGUGCUUCCCUUACCUCAUCCGUGAAUGGGCAGAAGUCCCACUCCGUUGAAUUUCCCGCGCAUGCCCCCCCGCAGUAUCGAGUCAGUACGACAGUGCAGCGCAGUCUGGCCGAUUCCUGCCGCUGGCGUCUCGUGGUCCUUCUCACGCUCCUCGGCCGGUACGACGAGGCGCGUGAGGCGGCACUCGACUGUGCGGCGAAUGUGCCACGCACGCUACCAAAGACAAAAUACUUGCUCUACGCGACGCUGUGCGUGCUGGCGCGAGGGGCGUCCGUGAGGAAGGACAGCGUCUCUGACCCAGCGGCCGCUGCGGAGGCAGCGCAAGCUCGAGAGACGCCGACGAUACCCUUUACGGCAUCUGCCGCCGACACAGUGUACUUCGACAGCCUCUACGACACCGAAAAGUUCUUCCUUGCGCUGCAGGACGAGGACCGCACCUUCCAGCGCGGAAAGGAGAACGCGCUUGUGCGCGCCCUACUGGCGGCAAACCGGGCAUGCUCUCUGACGGCCUUCGACGAGGCCGUGCGUGCCUACAAGGAGUACUCGACAACGGAGCCGUGCGCUGCGUUUGAGUUGCUGGCGGGGGAGUGCCGGCGCAGCCUGUUCGAGCACAUGGAGCGGUUUGCGUGAGGGCGCGUGCGCGUGUGUCUGGAUGCACGUCACAUUCCUCUGCCCUAAACCCGUUAUUUUUUUUCGCGUGUGUGUGUGUGAGGGGGAGGAUGAGGGGGAGGGGUUUGCUUCUCUCACGUCCUCGACCUUUAUGCUUGCCUCUCUUACUGCGUUACGCAGGUGCAUGUAUAUAUGUGUAUGUGUAUGGAUAUAUGCACAGAUGUAUGUAAUGUGCGCGUUUCACCUUGUGUAUUUGCAUCCUUUCGCUAUGCUGAUCAUCUCAGCUUUCACGGUUGUGCAGCGGCACCCCUCUCUCCCACGCCUUCCCUCGACGUACCGCGUGCGUCUUGUGCACAGACACACACACACGCACACAUGUACAUAUCUAAGCAUGAGCGCGCCUUGUACAGAUUUCGCUUCGCUGAUGUAAGUCACCUGGGGAUGAGCGAUGCGCCAUCGGUAGUGUGGUGGCGGCGCACGCACACGCAAGAGACCCUGACGAGAAAUUCUAUUCAUGCGUAUGUGGCCGCCUCUUCGUGAUUGGUUCGCUUGUUACGCGCACCUCCUC
RNAcentral lists this unclassified non-coding RNA (2915 nucleotides) under Leishmania donovani. Its description in RNAcentral is "gene:LdHU3.02.0390(CDS-product:Soluble_NSF_attach ment_protein_SNAP_putative)". Lineage: Eukaryota; Euglenozoa; Kinetoplastea; Trypanosomatida; Trypanosomatidae. The record is from RNAcentral.